This 616-nucleotide ribosomal RNA is filed under the name Dothiora viticola. RNAcentral's name for it is "eukaryotic LSU rRNA". It matches the Rfam family "Eukaryotic large subunit ribosomal RNA", at positions 36 to 665 of the family's 3401-position model. The record is from RNAcentral. Lineage: Eukaryota; Fungi; Ascomycota; Dothideomycetes; Dothideales; Dothioraceae.
AUGCAUAUCAAUAAGCGGAGGAAAAGAAACCAACAGGGAUUGCCCUAGUAACGGCGAGUGAAGCGGCAAUAGCUCAAAUUUGAAAGCUGGCCUUCUGGUCCGCAUUGUAAUUUGUAGAGGAUGCUUUUAGGCAGCCGCCGGUCUAAGUUCCUUGGAACAGGACGUCAUAGAGGGUGAGAAUCCCGUAUGUGACCGGCUCUGGCACCUUCUGUAAAGCUCCUUCGACGAGUCGAGUUGUUUGGGAAUGCAGCUCUAAAUGGGAGGUAAAUUUCUUCUAAAGCUAAAUAUUGGCGAGAGACCGAUAGCGCACAAGUAGAGUGAUCGAAAGAUGAAAAGCACUUUGGAAAGAGAGUUAAAAAGCACGUGAAAUUGUUGAAAGGGAAGCGCUUGCAAUCAGACUUGGACUUGACUGUUCAACCGGUCUUCUGACCGGCCCACUCAGUCUCGUCCAGGCCAGCAUCAGUUUCGGCGGCCGGAUAAAGGCCUUGGGAACGUGGCCGCCUCUUCGGAGGCGGUGUUAUAGCCCAGGGUGUAAUACGGCCAGCCGGGACUGAGGUCCGCGCUUCGGCUAGGAUGCUGGCGUAAUGGUUGUAAGCGGCCCGUCUUGAAACACGGA